GAUCCCUACGGUUCUGAUCCUGGAACUUAAGGAGCAAUUCAAUGAUAAAGCAACCAUCAAGUAAAAGAUGACAACCAUCAUAACCCUGAUCCACAUGGCUGGAAUAACACUCCUGAACCUUCUUCCCAUUAACCUUAACUGAGAACAAUUCAGCUUUAGACAACUCCAACUGCUUCCAUGUAGCCAGUGGGUUCCUGUCUUUAGAAAUGAGGUCUCGCAGAUACCGUGUUUUCAAUUUAUCAUAGGCACGCAGUUUU
RNAcentral lists this unclassified non-coding RNA (257 nucleotides) under Hevea brasiliensis (rubber tree). The record is from RNAcentral. Lineage: Eukaryota; Viridiplantae; Streptophyta; Magnoliopsida; Malpighiales; Euphorbiaceae.